This 500-nucleotide ribosomal RNA is filed under the name uncultured bacterium. Its description in RNAcentral is "partial 16S ribosomal RNA". It matches the Rfam family "Bacterial small subunit ribosomal RNA", at positions 30 to 523 of the family's 1533-position model. The record is from RNAcentral.
AUUGAACGCUGCGGCAGGCUUAACACAUGCAAGUCGAGCGGGGGAAGGUAGCUUGCUACCGGACCUAGCGGCGGACGGGUGAGUAAUGCUUAGGAAUCUGCCUAUUAGUGGGGGACAACAUCUCGAAAGGGAUGCUAAUACCGCAUACGUCCUACGGGAGAAAGCAGGGGAUCUUCGGACCUUGCGCUAAUAGAUGAGCCUAAGUAGGAUUAGCUAGUUGGUGGGGUAAAGGCCUACCAAGGCGACGAUCUGUAGCGGGUCUGAGAGGAUGAUCCGCCACACUGGGACUGAGACACGGCCCAGACUCCUACGGGAGGCAGCAGUGGGGAAUAUUGGACAAUGGGGGGAACCCUGAUCCAGCCAUGCCGCGUGUGUGAAGAAGGCCUUAUGGUUGUAAAGCACUUUAAGCGAGGAGGAGGCUACUUUAGUUAAUACCUAGAGAUAGUGGACGUUACUCGCAGAAUAAGCACCGGCUAACUCUGUGCCAGCCGCCGCAGUAA